AGAUUUCUUCGAGCAUCCAGCUCAUCUCAAUGAACAUCAAGUUAUAGAUUGUAAUAACUAUAAGUAUCGAUCAUUACCUACACAUAAGUAAAAUUAAAAGCAAAAAUUUGAUCAUGUCCACAUGCCCCUGCUUGGGUUGCUUCAAGUAUCUGCCUAUAAUUGAGUUUUUCUGAAUAUGGAAUCAACUUCUCAUGCAUAGAGUCUUCUAACAGCCAAAAC
Molecule: long non-coding RNA, 219 nt
Filed under: Elaeis guineensis (African oil palm)
Lineage: Eukaryota; Viridiplantae; Streptophyta; Magnoliopsida; Arecales; Arecaceae
Description: long non-coding RNA (EGUI_LNC023221)
Source: RNAcentral